CCUACGGGUGGCUGCAGUGGGGAAUACUGCACAAUGGGCGCAAGCCUGAUGCAGCCAUGCCGCGUGUGUGAAGAAGGCCUUCGGGUUGUAAAGCACUUUCAGCGGGGAGGAAGGCGGUGAGGUUAAUAACCUCAUCGAUUGACGUUACCCGUAGAAGAAGCACCGGCUAACUCCGUGCCAGCAGCCGCGGUAAUACGGAGGGUGCAAGCGUUAAUCGGAAUUACUGGGCGUAAAGCGCACGCAGGCGGUCUGUCAAGUCGGAUGUGAAAUCCCCGGGCUCAACCUGGGAGCUGCAUUCGAAACUGGCAGGCUAGAGUCUUGUAGAGGGGGGUAGAAUUCCAGGUGUAGCGGUGAAAUGCGUAGAGAUCUGGAGGAAUACCGGUGGCGAAGGCGGCCCCCUGGACAAAGACUGACGCUCAGGUGCGAAAGCGUGGGGAGCAAACAGGAUUAGAUACCCCAGUAGUC
Molecule: ribosomal RNA, 465 nt
Filed under: uncultured Klebsiella sp.
Lineage: Bacteria; Pseudomonadati; Pseudomonadota; Gammaproteobacteria; Enterobacterales; Enterobacteriaceae
Description: bacterial SSU rRNA
Rfam family: Bacterial small subunit ribosomal RNA
Source: RNAcentral